This 2471-nucleotide ribosomal RNA is filed under the name human gut metagenome. RNAcentral describes it as "bacterial LSU rRNA". It matches the Rfam family "Bacterial large subunit ribosomal RNA", at positions 1 to 2495 of the family's 2925-position model. The record is from RNAcentral.
UAAAGCAAGAAAGGGCGUAUGGGGAAUGCCUAGGCACACUCCGGCGAAGAAGGACGCAGCAAACAGCGAAAUGCGACGGUGAGCGGUAAGCACGUGAAGAGCCGUCGAUAUCCGAAUGGGGGAACCCACACGGAGUCAUAUCCGUGUAUCACAUGUCGAAUACAUAGACAUGAUGAGGCGAGACGCAGGGAACUGAAACAUCUAAGUACCUGCAGGAAGAGAAAAUAAGAAUGAUUUUCUGAGUAGCGGCGAGCGAAAGGGAAAGAGCCCAAACCGAUCUGAGGAUCGGGGUAGUAGGAUCAUCGAGGAAUCUGACAGAGGAUCAUAGAGGAAUCACAUGGGAAGGUGAGCGAGAGAGGGUGAGAGCCCCGUACUCGAAAUGAGAGACUGGAGAGAGAUGACACCUGAGUAGGGCGGGACACGAGAAAUCCUGUCUGAAUCAGCCGGGACCAUCCGGCAAGGCUAAAUACGAGAGAGUGACCGAUAGUGAACCAGUACCGUGAGGGAAAGGUGAAAAGAACCCCGGGAGGGGAGUGAAAGAGAACCUGAAACCAUAUGCCUACAAGAAGUCAGAGCCCGUUAAAGGGUGAUGGCGUGCCUUUUGUAGAAUGAACCGGCGAGUUACUGUAUGGAGCGAGGUUAAGCAGGAUAUGCGGAGCCGAAGCGAAAGCGAGUCUUAAGAGGGCGCGAGUUGCAUGCAGUAGACCCGAAACCGGGUGAUCUAGCCAUGACCAGGUUGAAGUUGGGGUAAAACCCGAUGGAGGACCGAACCGACCCCCGUUGAAACGUUGGCGGAUGAGUUGUGGCUAGGGGUGAAAUUCCAAUCGAACCCGGAGAUAGCUGGUUCUCCCCGAAAUAGCUUUAGGGCUAGCGUCGAGAGAAGAGUUGCGUGAAGGUAGAGCACUGAAUAUGUGAUGGCCCCAUCUCGGGGUACUGAGCAUAAUCAAACUGCGAAUGUCACGCCAACAUGCUCGGCAGUCAGACAGCGGGUGAUAAGGUCCGUUGUCAAGAGGGAAACAGCCCAGACCAUCAGCUAAGGUCCCAAAAUGUAUGCUAAGUGGAAAAGGAUGUGGAGAUGUACAGACAACUAGGAGGUUGGCUCAGAAGCAGCCAUCCUUUAAAGAGUGCGUAACAGCUCACUAGUCGAAUGACUCUGCGCCGAUAAUUUACCGGGGCUAAGCAUACUACCGAAGCUAUGGAUCCCAAGGGAUGGUAGGGGAGCGUUCCAUGAACGGAGAAGUACGACCGAAAGGACGUGUGGAGAUCAUGGAAGAGAGAAUGCCGGUGUGAGUAGCGGAACGUGGGUGAGAAUCCCACGCACCGAAAACCCAAGGUUUCCAGAGGAAGGUUCGUCCGCUCUGGGUAAGUCGGGACCUAAGGCGAGGCCGAAAGGCGUAGUCGAUGGACAACAGGUAGAGAUUCCUGUACCCGUAUAUAUGUGAAGGAAUGACGGAGAGAGGAAGCUGCAGCCAGCGGCUGGAAGAGCUGGUGCAAGCGAGAUAUCGGGAUGGCAGGCAAAUCCACCAUCCGAAACGAGAAGGCGUGAAGCGUACGGAAAGCUACGGCGAGUACGGAAGGCAGUGGAGGAACUUCCAAGAAAAGUUUCUAACGUUAAGUAUAUAUGGCCCGUACCGAAAAUGGACACACAUGGGUGAGGAGAGAAUCCUAAGGUGAGCGAGAGAACUAUAGCUAAGGAACUCUGCAAAAUGACUCCGUAACUUAGGGAGAAGGAGUGCUCAUAGAGAUAUGAGCCGCAGUGAAACGGCCCAAGCGACUGUUUACCAAAAACACAGCUCUCUGCUAAGCCGCAAGGCGAAGUAUAGGGGGUGACGCCUGCCCGGUGCUGGAAGGUUAAGGGGAGGGGUUAACGCAAGUGAAGCCCUGAACUGAAGCCCCAGUAAACGGCGGCCGUAACUAUAACGGUCCUAAGGUAGCGAAAUUCCUUGUCAGGUAAGUUCUGACCCGCACGAAAGGCGUAACGAUUUGGGCGCUGUCUCAGCUGUAGACUCGGUGAAGUCUUAGUACCUGUGAAGAUGCAGGUUACCCGCGACUAGACGGAAAGACCCCAUGGAGCUUCACUGCAGGUUGAUAUUGGGAUUUGAUGCAGCAUGUACAGGAUAGGUAGGAGGCAAAGAGAUGGAUACGCCAGUAUUCAAGGAGCCGCUGUUGGGAUACUACCCCUGUUGUAUUGGAUUUCUAACCGGACGACGUAGAGCCGUUGACGGGACAGUGUCAGUCGGGCAGUUUGACUGGGGCGGUCGCCUCCCAAAGAGUAACGGAGGCGCCCAAAGAUACCCUCAGCUUGGAUGGAAACCAAGCGCAGAGUGCAAAGGCAAAAGGGUGUUUGACUGCGAGACCCACAAGUCGAGCAGGGACGAAAGUCGGGCUUAGUGAUCCGGCGGUGCUGAAUGGAAAGGCCGUCGCUCAACGGAUAAAAGCUACCCUGGGGAUAACAGGCUGAUCUCCCCCAA